RNAcentral lists this long non-coding RNA (994 nucleotides) under Mustela putorius furo (domestic ferret). Its description in RNAcentral is "lncRNA (ENSMPUG00000027353.1)". The record is from RNAcentral. Lineage: Eukaryota; Metazoa; Chordata; Mammalia; Carnivora; Mustelidae.
GAAAUUUUACUUUUAAAGGAAAAUAACAGCGUAAUAGGAACCACAUUGAAGUCAGCACAACCAAUAUAUGGGGAAAAGGUGACCAUCGCUGUCUACACAUAUAGGCAGGUCAUUCAGGGUAGUUCAAAAAUUCCAUUUUCCAUAGUGGUCUGUGUGUGUCCACGUGGUAAUAAAUGGCCCAAGCAUGGCUUCUGAGGUGUUGGCACGACCAGUGAGUGCCAGAUGGAAUGUGGUGAAAGUUCUGAUUUGUACCUUUCAGACCAGAGGUACUUGCCAAAAUGGAUGGGUCCUCCUGGCCACCUUUUGUAAGUAUAGCCACAGGUAUUCGGUUGAAACCUGUGGGUGAGAAAGACAUAAACAGGUGCCGUAAAUUUGUCAGACCAGGAAGCCACAGACCAUUUAGUAAAUGGUAAACCCAGUGGCCCAAAAGAACAAAGGAGUCUCUUUUCAUCAGAAUGAUCAGGCUCAUUCAACAAAUAUUUAUUGAGUAUCUACUCUCUGCCAGACAUAAUAGAGACGGACAAGUUCUCUUAUUUAAAGAGUACCUGAAGUGAGGGAACAAAACCCCAAAUCACCUGGGAUGGUGUGGGCCUAACUGCACUGCAACCUGAUGGAAAGGAAGAGCCAGGGUCCUGGACCUACAACCUGACUGCUGUGGCACCCAUUCUGCCCACCAGUUCUUGAGGGUACAGCUUUUCAGGUCUGCCAGAUCAUCCGUUUGCCAUAAUUUUGACUACUCUCCUGUUGGCCUUGAUGAUCACUGGAGUCCCAGGAGUUUCAAACCCUGCCUCAAGAAAAAUUUGGAUGUAUUAGAAAAAAAUGACAGACUUCCUUGGUUAAGUUUAUCCCCUUCAGAAUGCCAACAAGUGCUGAGAAUGCACACAAGAGCUCUCAACCAUUUCAUGCUCUCCUAUACACCAAAAGCCCAAGAUAAAAAACAGAAAUCACUGGUAAGUUGUCCUUGGGUGCCAGCCAGUUAACACAACAAGAGUAC